This 56-nucleotide transfer RNA is filed under the name Meloidogyne graminicola. RNAcentral's name for it is "tRNA-Ser". Lineage: Eukaryota; Metazoa; Nematoda; Chromadorea; Rhabditida; Meloidogynidae. The record is from RNAcentral.
AAAUUAUUAUUACAAAUAGUAAAUUUAAAAUGAUAUUAGGAGUUAAUUGUAAUUUA